GACGAACGCUGGCGGCGUGCUUAACACAUGCAAGUCGAACGGAAAGGCCCCUUCGGGGGUACUCGAGUGGCGAACGGGUGAGUAACACGUGAGUAACCUUCCCUUGACUUCGGGAUAACUUCAGGAAACUGGGGCUAAUACCGGAUAGGAAUCCUUGCUGCAUGGUGGGGGUUGGAAAGCUUCGGCGGGUUUGGAUGGACUCGCGGCUUAUCAGCUUGUUGGUGGGGUAGUGGCUUACCAAGGCGUUGACGGGUAGCCGGCCUGAGAGGGCGACCGGCCACAUUGGGACUGAGGUAAGGCCCAGACACCGAAGGGAGGGAGCAGUGGGGAAGAUUGCACAAUGGGCGCAAGGCUGAUGCAGAAACGCCGCGGGCGGGAUGACGGUCUUAGGGUUGUAAAACGCAUUCAGCAGGGGCGAAGCUUGUGGUGACGGUACCUGCAGAAGAAGCACCGGCUAACUACGUG
Molecule: ribosomal RNA, 465 nt
Filed under: uncultured bacterium
Lineage: Bacteria
Description: partial 16S ribosomal RNA
Rfam family: Bacterial small subunit ribosomal RNA
Source: RNAcentral